This 85-nucleotide transfer RNA is filed under the name Candidatus Sungiibacteriota bacterium. RNAcentral's name for it is "Candidatus Sungbacteria bacterium tRNA-Tyr". It matches the Rfam family "tRNA". From Rfam's summary of the family: Transfer RNA (tRNA) molecules are approximately 80 nucleotides in length. Their secondary structure includes four short double-helical elements and three loops (D, anti-codon, and T loops). Lineage: Bacteria; Candidatus Sungiibacteriota. The record is from RNAcentral.
GCGUGGGUGACAGAGUGGUCAAUUGUACUUGGCUGUAAACCAAGCGCCCUAACGGGCUACGGGGGUUCGAAUCCCUCCCCACGCA